Non-coding RNA from Pelodiscus sinensis (Chinese soft-shelled turtle), 506 nucleotides. Lineage: Eukaryota; Metazoa; Chordata; Testudines; Trionychidae. The record is from RefSeq and is a predicted model, not a curated record.
CUCUCUUGCCAGUCAGAGGGAGCAGGGGUCCCUGGCCAGGAGGGCUCCUGGGAUGAAGCAGCCGGGGAGAAGAAACAACAGCAGGUGCUGCAUGGACUAGGACAAAGACUGGGGCUUCCUGCAGAAGAGCACCCAUCAUGCCAAACGCUGGGAGUCAACACCAGUGAGUGGGCUAACCCCUGGGGAGACGUUGCAAGGAGGAAUUUAGGAGCCCUGCUGUGGCUUCUGAUAGGACACUGGCCACAUUUCCAAUGCCAGGGCAGAGAAGAGGAAGGUUACAGUGGGAGCAAAGGAAAUCUUGGCACCUUCUCAAAGGGACGCAUUCAGUCACCUGACCCAGAUGGAAGCGACCCCGGCUUACAGCUUUAAGAGCUCACUGAAAGAACAAAGUCUGUUCUCGGCAAAUAUCGGCCUCCCCAGCCCUUUGAUCCCCCGUGGCCGCCGGUGGCCAGCCUACAUCACCUUCACCUCUCCGACGGUCAAGAUGCUUGUGGAGCAAGACAAGC